This 439-nucleotide ribosomal RNA is filed under the name uncultured bacterium. RNAcentral describes it as "partial 16S ribosomal RNA". It matches the Rfam family "Bacterial small subunit ribosomal RNA", at positions 339 to 795 of the family's 1533-position model. The record is from RNAcentral.
CUACGGGAGGCUGCAGUGAGGAAUUUUGCGCAAUGGGGGAAACCCUGACGCAGCAACGCCGCGUGGAGGAUGACGCAUUUCGGUGUGUAAACUCCUUUUAUCAGAGAAGAAAAUGACGGUAUCUGAUGAAUAAGCUCCGGCUAACUCCGUGCCAGCAGCCGCGGUAAUACGGAGGGAGCAAGCGUUAUUCGGAAUCACUGGGCGUAAAGGACGCGUAGGCGGGUUUUUAAGUCAGGUGUGAAAUCCUAUGGCUCAACCAUAGAACUGCACUUGAAACUGGGGACCUAGAGUAUGGAAGGGGCAGGUGGAAUUAGUGGUGUAGGGGUAAAAUCCGUAGAUAUCACUAGGAAUACCGAAAGCGAAGGCGACCUGCUGGGACAUUACUGACGCUGAGGCGUGAAAGCGUGGGGAGCAAACGGGAUUAGAUACCCGAGUAGUC